Small nuclear RNA from Saimiri boliviensis boliviensis (Bolivian squirrel monkey), 102 nucleotides. The record is from Ensembl. NCBI's taxonomy places the organism in Eukaryota, Metazoa, Chordata, Mammalia, Primates, Cebidae.
UUGCUUCAGUAGCAUAUAUAUAAAAACUGAAAUGAGACAGGGAAAGUUAGCAUGGACCAUGUGCAAGGAUGACAUGCAAAUCAUGGAGUGUUCCAUAUAUUA